Molecule: ribosomal RNA, 273 nt
Filed under: uncultured Staphylococcus sp.
Lineage: Bacteria; Bacillati; Bacillota; Bacilli; Caryophanales; Staphylococcaceae
Description: partial 16S ribosomal RNA
Rfam family: Bacterial small subunit ribosomal RNA
Source: RNAcentral
ACGUUAGCGGCGGACGGGUGAGUAACACGUGGGUAACCUACCUAUAAGACUGGGAUAACUUCGGGAAACCGGAGCUAAUACCGGAUAAUAUUUCGAACCGCAUGGUUCGAUAGUGAAAGAUGGUUUUGCUAUCACUUAUAGAUGGACCCGCGCCGUAUUAGCUAGUUGGUAAGGUAACGGCUUACCAAGGCGACGAUACGUAGCCGACCUGAGAGGGUGAUCGGCCACACUGGAACUGAGACACGGUCCAGACUCCUACGGGAGGCAGCAGUC